RNAcentral lists this long non-coding RNA (542 nucleotides) under Calidris pugnax (ruff). RNAcentral describes it as "lncRNA (ENSCPUG00000004948.1)". Lineage: Eukaryota; Metazoa; Chordata; Aves; Charadriiformes; Scolopacidae. The record is from RNAcentral.
GUGGCAAAACCCCGCCCCUCACGGCCUUCCCGCUCUUCCAGUGCGCGUGCGUUGGCUGGGGAGGCGGAGGUGGGUGCCAUGGCAACGCGGGAGGUAACGGAGGGGAGGCCGCGUCUGUGGCGGCCCUCAGGGGAGACCGGCACCGGCACCCGGGACUCGCACCCGCCGCAGGCAGAGGGGAGGGCUCUGUCUUGUGGUGUUAGAGGACAUCUCGAGGACUUUGCUGAAAAGCUGAGAAUCCUGGAAUCUGGUAGAAUUUGUGGAUUACUUCAGGGGUGAUUGUCUGCAAAGAAGCCAUUUUAGGGUCUGUCUUCAGGGCUUGACGUGGAGUCCCUCUGCUCAGUAAAAGGAUAUAGCCAUGGUAAUGCAGGUUUGAUUCUUUUCAAGUGUAUUGAUACCGUUUUAAGGAGUUAAAUGGGGUUAAUAACCAAAAUGUUCCUUCUCAAGGCUGCAGGACAAUCUGACCUGCCCAAAUUCACGUUGUGUGCAAGUGUGCACCUGAUUCUGAUUUUUAGCUUUUCUUAUUGUUCUCAACAACAGGC